AGAGUUUGAUCCUGGCUCAGGAUGAACGCUGGCGGUAUGCUUUACACAUGCAAGUCAUACGAGAGUUUUUAACUCAAGUGGCGGACGGGUGAGUAACACGUAAGAAUUUGCCUUUAGGAGGGGGACAACAACUGGAAACGGUUGCUAAUACCCCAUAUGCUUUCGAGUGAAAUGGUUUUUCCGCCUAAAGAGAAGCUUGCGGCUGAUUAGCUUGUUGGUAAGGUAAUGGCUUACCAAGGCGACGAUCAGUAUCUGGUUUGAGAGGACGAUCAGACACACUGGAACUGAGACACGGUCCAGACUCCUACGGGAGGCAGCAGUGGGGAAUUUUCCGCAAUGGGCGAAAGCCUGACGGAGCAAUACCGCGUGAGGGAUGAAUGCCUAUGGGUUGUAAACCUCUUUUUUCAGGGAGGAAUCAAUGACGUGUACCUGAAGAAUAAGCAUCGGCUAACUCCGUGCCAGCAGCCGCGGUAAGACGGAGGAUGCAAGUGUUAUCCGGAAUCACUGGGCGUAAAGCGUCUGUAGGUGGUUUGAUAAGUCAACUGUUAAAUCUUGAGGCUCAACCUCAAAACCGCAGUCGAAACUAUUAGACUAGAGUAUAGUAGGGGUAAAGGGAAUUUCCAGUGGAGCGGUGAAAUGCGUAGAGAUUGGAAAGAACACCGAUGGCGAAGGCACUUUACUGGGCUAUUACUAACACUGAGAGACGAAAGCUAGGGUAGCAAAUGGGAUUAGAUACCCCAGUAGUCCUAGCCGUAAACAAUGGAUACUAGAUGUUGAACAGAUCGACCUGUGCAGUAUCAAAGCUAACGCGUUAAGUAUCCCGCCUGGGAAGUAUGCUCGCAAGAGUGAAACUUAAAGGAAUUGACGG
RNAcentral lists this ribosomal RNA (868 nucleotides) under uncultured bacterium. Its description in RNAcentral is "bacterial SSU rRNA". It matches the Rfam family "Bacterial small subunit ribosomal RNA", at positions 8 to 916 of the family's 1533-position model. The record is from RNAcentral.